This 1464-nucleotide ribosomal RNA is filed under the name Escherichia coli O111:H8 str. CVM9574. RNAcentral describes it as "bacterial SSU rRNA". It matches the Rfam family "Bacterial small subunit ribosomal RNA". The record is from RNAcentral. Lineage: Bacteria; Pseudomonadati; Pseudomonadota; Gammaproteobacteria; Enterobacterales; Enterobacteriaceae.
UUUGCUGACGAGUGGCGGACGGGUGAGUAAUGUCUGGGAAACUGCCUGAUGGAGGGGGAUAACUACUGGAAACGGUAGCUAAUACCGCAUAACGUCGCAAGACCAAAGAGGGGGACCUUCGGGCCUCUUGCCAUCGGAUGUGCCCAGAUGGGAUUAGCUUGUUGGUGGGGUAACGGCUCACCAAGGCGACGAUCCCUAGCUGGUCUGAGAGGAUGACCAGCCACACUGGAACUGAGACACGGUCCAGACUCCUACGGGAGGCAGCAGUGGGGAAUAUUGCACAAUGGGCGCAAGCCUGAUGCAGCCAUGCCGCGUGUAUGAAGAAGGCCUUCGGGUUGUAAAGUACUUUCAGCGGGGAGGAAGGGAGUAAAGUUAAUACCUUUGCUCAUUGACGUUACCCGCAGAAGAAGCACCGGCUAACUCCGUGCCAGCAGCCGCGGUAAUACGGAGGGUGCAAGCGUUAAUCGGAAUUACUGGGCGUAAAGCGCACGCAGGCGGUUUGUUAAGUCAGAUGUGAAAUCCCCGGGCUCAACCUGGGAACUGCAUCUGAUACUGGCAAGCUUGAGUCUCGUAGAGGGGGGUAGAAUUCCAGGUGUAGCGGUGAAAUGCGUAGAGAUCUGGAGGAAUACCGGUGGCGAAGGCGGCCCCCUGGACGAAGACUGACGCUCAGGUGCGAAAGCGUGGGGAGCAAACAGGAUUAGAUACCCUGGUAGUCCACGCCGUAAACGAUGUCGACUUGGAGGUUGUGCCCUUGAGGCGUGGCUUCCGGAGCUAACGCGUUAAGUCGACCGCCUGGGGAGUACGGCCGCAAGGUUAAAACUCAAAUGAAUUGACGGGGGCCCGCACAAGCGGUGGAGCAUGUGGUUUAAUUCGAUGCAACGCGAAGAACCUUACCUGGUCUUGACAUCCACGGAAGUUUUCAGAGAUGAGAAUGUGCCUUCGGGAACUGUGAGACAGGUGCUGCAUGGCUGUCGUCAGCUCGUGUUGUGAAAUGUUGGGUUAAGUCCCGCAACGAGCGCAACCCUUAUCCUUUGUUGCCAGCGGUCCGGCCGGGAACUCAAAGGAGACUGCCAGUGAUAAACUGGAGGAAGGUGGGGAUGACGUCAAGUCAUCAUGGCCCUUACGACCAGGGCUACACACGUGCUACAAUGGCGCAUACAAAGAGAAGCGACCUCGCGAGAGCAAGCGGACCUCAUAAAGUGCGUCGUAGUCCGGAUUGGAGUCUGCAACUCGACUCCAUGAAGUCGGAAUCGCUAGUAAUCGUGGAUCAGAAUGCCACGGUGAAUACGUUCCCGGGCCUUGUACACACCGCCCGUCACACCAUGGGAGUGGGUUGCAAAAGAAGUAGGUAGCUUAACCUUCGGGAGGGCGCUUACCACUUUGUGAUUCAUGACUGGGGUGAAGUCGUAACAAGGUAACCGUAGGGGAACCUGCGGUUGGAUCACCUCCUUACCUUAAAGAAGC